UGCCGGUCUAAUGCCCCACCCCUUU
Molecule: non-coding RNA, 25 nt
Filed under: Rattus norvegicus (Norway rat)
Lineage: Eukaryota; Metazoa; Chordata; Mammalia; Rodentia; Muridae
Source: RNAcentral